GGGCCGGUAGCUCAGAUGGGAGAGCGCUGCGUUCGCAAUGCAGAGGUCAGGAGUUCGAUCCUCCUUCGGUCCACCA
RNAcentral lists this transfer RNA (76 nucleotides) under Rhodoferax sp. Its description in RNAcentral is "tRNA-Ala". It matches the Rfam family "tRNA". Rfam says of the family: Transfer RNA (tRNA) molecules are approximately 80 nucleotides in length. The record is from RNAcentral. RNAcentral also lists the same sequence under 5 other names. Lineage: Bacteria; Pseudomonadati; Pseudomonadota; Betaproteobacteria; Burkholderiales; Comamonadaceae.